UUUUGCGCUUUUCAAUUUGUUUUUGCGCUUUUCAAUUUGUUGUGCGUUUUGUGAUUUGUUUUUGUGGUUUGCACUUCAGGGCCACCGUAGAAACCCCCCUGACUCAGCAGUUACACUUAUACCUUCACACCCCCACCUCCUGUCACCCGACUCUCAACCUUCAUGGAAAAGUACUGAAAUCCUCCCAGGGCCAGGCCACCCCGCUGGACACGCCACAGCACUAGCAGCAUAGACUAUGAGUUUUUUCUCAUGUCAGAAGCUCUGCCUCAAACUGAGUACAAAUGCUGAAUGUCAACCAGCUGUUAGUAACAUGUCUUGUAACGUGAUUUCUGAAAAUUUUCCCCGCAUGUCUUGCAGGUGCUAACAUAAUUUCAAAGGGCUGCCUAAACCAGUGCAUUAUGUGCUGGGCUUGCACAUAAUGGUCUUGCUGUGAAGGGAACCUGUGUAACAGCGCUACUCCAACAGGUCCCAGUUCUGGUCUUUCGAUUUUCAAAAAUGUGUGAGGCCGACAGUGUUGUCACUUUAGGGGGCGUGGUCAUAACCACCAGGUAGGAGGCUCUUUGAAGAAAUACAAAAGCUCAGGUUCUGAAAGCAAAUUAGAAAGUUGAGCCGAGAUUAGCAGCAGCUUUUUCUCUCAAGAAACUGAUCAGCAAUUUGAGUUCAUGAUGCAGCUUUAUGGAGCUCUGAUCCUGUGUGUGACUCUGUCUGCAGCAUGUGGAUUAAGAUGCUACACAUGCACAGUUGCCGAUCCUAAAUCCUGCACAGACACCACUGUUUGUGAUUUCAGCUUCAACCGUUGUUCCACUUUUAGAGUAGACGGUCUUACUGUAGUUUUAAAGGGCUGCCAAAACAGUGAAGCAUGUGUUGGGCCUAUGUCCUGCUGUGAAGGAGACCUGUGUAACAGCGCUAUUCCAACUGGUCCCAGUGCCAUCCUGCUGGUAUCUUCAGCCAUCCUCAAAUUUCUUUUCUGAGGUUGUGAAAUGAAGUUGUUUCCCUGCUGCACUUCAGAUUCUAUUUUGUAUCAGUAGGGAAGAAAUAAACAACUUUGAAGUGCCUGAUAUGAAAUAAAACUGUCAAUGCUAUUUUAAUUUGUCAUUUAGAGAAGUUCAGGGUUUGACAUCGCCAAAUACUGCAUUGCAAGUUUUUGCUUCUAUGCUGCACUUUUUUCUAAUUCUAUGAUUGGUGCAAUGAUAUGACAUAAAUUUUUCACCGACAUUCUGAUAAGUCAUUUCAAGUAAAUCAGGGUCUGUCCUGUUCAAAUAUUUUAUUUCUUGAAUAUUCACUUUUCCUAAAGCAAAUAAAAGU
This is a long non-coding RNA of Oreochromis aureus, 1305 nucleotides long. RefSeq lists it as uncharacterized. The transcript has 3 exons. The record is from RefSeq and is a predicted model, not a curated record. NCBI's taxonomy places the organism in Eukaryota, Metazoa, Chordata, Actinopteri, Cichliformes, Cichlidae.